Molecule: long non-coding RNA, 935 nt
Filed under: Homo sapiens (human)
Lineage: Eukaryota; Metazoa; Chordata; Mammalia; Primates; Hominidae
Description: HSALNT0294730
Source: RNAcentral
GAGCGGCGCGGAGCUACCACGCCCUGCCAGACUCGCCCUUGGGUCCCUGUCUGACGAGCUCUAGGCAAUCUGCCCUCGUUCGGGACACAACCAUCGGUCUCACCCCUCAGUUUCUGCCAGAGAAAAAGGAAAAGUCACCGAGAGGCCUGACCCUGACGGGUGGGGGAGAUGCGCGUGCGGAGUAGCGGGAAGCGACUGAGGAGCGGGGAAUGGGCAGCAUUUGAAUGGAUGCGGGUGCCGCUGGCACCCGGGAAGACGCUGGGGGCCGGCGCUGUAGAGCCGGGCAUGGGCUGGGAUGUGUUUGGAUUCCAAUCCGGGCCUGACACCAGUUCAGUGACCUCGGGAAGUUCCCCAACCCUCCGGGCCUGUUUCCUCCCUCUGAAGUGGCGACAGUAGUAGAACCGACCUCGUAGGCUCAUCGGGAGGUCCUGAUGGGAGAACCCAUGCAACUUGCCACCAUAGAGCCAGGCCCGCGGCGGUUGGCGCCUGGUGGGUAUUAAAGACGAGUCGGGAAAGAAGAGCAGGUAAGAGGGUGGGGAGACUGGCCCAGUGGGUUGGGGUGUGCACCUCGGCCACGUGGAAAAGCGAGAAUGCAGAGGCCGGACGCUUAUGGACGAUGCAUAUGUGGGGCCGGAUAGAAUUGUGGCAGGCGGCGCUGGGGCUGAUGCUCCUCACCCGGAUUAUCCUCUCUAAUCCUCAGCCCUGUGAAGUGGGCACUGCCCUGAACAUUUUGUAAAUAAGGGACCCGAGGCUCAGAGAGGUGAAGUAACUUUCCAGACAGCCCAGCUCGUCAGCGGCCAGCAUUUGAAGUCACACUCCAGAGCCUGUUUUUAACAUAAUAGCCGCUGUGACCGCAUAACCAACGUGUGUGUUGAAGUGAUCAAAUAACCAUGGAGUGUCUUUGAUGUCCAGGACUUUUGAGAAAUACCGAAAAA